UACGUGAGGGGCGAACGUUGUUCGGUGUCACUGGGCUUAAAGGGUGCGUAGGUGGUUGCGUAAGUAACGUGUGAAAUCCCCUCGGCUUACCCGGGGAAUUGCAUGUUAUACUGCGUGACUUGAGGACUAAAGGGGAAAAGGGAACUCCAGGUGUAGCGGUGAAAUGCGCAGAUAAUCUGGGGGGAAGGCCGGCGGCGAAGGCGCUUUUCUGGUUAGAUCCUGACACUGAGGCACGAAAGCGUGGGGAGCAAACAGGG
Molecule: ribosomal RNA, 257 nt
Filed under: uncultured bacterium
Lineage: Bacteria
Description: partial 16S ribosomal RNA
Rfam family: Bacterial small subunit ribosomal RNA
Source: RNAcentral